Molecule: ribosomal RNA, 468 nt
Filed under: uncultured bacterium
Lineage: Bacteria
Description: partial 16S ribosomal RNA
Rfam family: Bacterial small subunit ribosomal RNA (bases 61-468)
Source: RNAcentral
GGGGGGGGCGGGGGGGGGGGGUAGGGGAGGGGGGGGGAACGGAAGGGGGGGGGGUGGGGGGGGGGGUGGAGGGGCGAGCGGGGGGGUAGGAGGGGAGGAAGCUGCCCUGGGGUGUGGGAUAACUUCAGGAAACUGGGGCGAAGGCCGGAUAGGAGCGCCUGCUGCAGGGGGGGGGUGGGAAGGGUUCGGCGGUGGGGGGAGGACUGGGGGCGUAUCAGCUGGUGUGGGGGGUAGGGGCUUACCAAGGCUUUGACGGGUAGCCGGCCUGAGCGGGUGACCGGCCCCAUUGGGACUGAGGUACGGCCCAGACUCCUACGGGAGGCAGCAGUGGGGAAUAUUGCACAAUGGGCGGAAGCCUGAUGCAGCAACGCCGCGUGCGGGAUGACGGCCUUCGGGUUGUAAACCGCUUUCGCCUGUGACGAAGCGUGAGUGACGGUAAUGGGUAAAGAAGCACCGGCUACCUACGUG